GAUGAAGAACGCAGCGAACUGCGAUAAGUAAUGUGAAUUGCAGAAUUCAGUGAAUCAUCGAGUCUUUGAACGCCCAUUGCGCCCCCUGGUAUUCCGGGGGGCAUGCCUGUCCGAGCGUCAUUGCUGCCCUCAAGCCCGGCUUGUGUGUUGGGUCUCGUCCCCCUUCCCGGGGGGACGGGCCCGAAAGGCAGCGGCGGCACCGCGUCCGGUCCUCGAGCGUAUGGGGCUUUGUCACCCGCUCUGUAGGCCCGGCCGGCGCUUGCCGAUCAACCAAAACUUUUUUCCAGGUUGACCUCGGAUCAGGUAGGGAUACCCGCUGAACUUAAGCAUAUCAAUAAGCGGAGGA
This 346-nucleotide unclassified non-coding RNA is filed under the name soil metagenome. RNAcentral's name for it is "partial contains 5.8S ribosomal RNA, internal transcribed spacer 2, and large subunit ribosomal RNA". The stretch from base 1 to 120 matches the Rfam family "5.8S ribosomal RNA", at positions 35 to 154 of the family's 154-position model. The record is from RNAcentral.